CGCAGUUCUUGGGUGACACACCCCAGAAUCGGGCUCCCUCCUCUCUGGUCGGGUACAUCAUCACCCAAGAACCACC
Molecule: non-coding RNA, 76 nt
Organism: Myotis brandtii (Brandt's bat)
Lineage: Eukaryota; Metazoa; Chordata; Mammalia; Chiroptera; Vespertilionidae
Source: Rfam